Molecule: ribosomal RNA, 618 nt
Filed under: Triticum aestivum (bread wheat)
Lineage: Eukaryota; Viridiplantae; Streptophyta; Magnoliopsida; Poales; Poaceae
Description: partial small subunit ribosomal RNA
Source: RNAcentral
AUGCUGUUGCCUAUCAACCUUCAACCUAGUGUCCCGGACACCAUCAUUUGGAAGCUCUCCAGUGAUGGAUCUUACUCUGCCAAGACGGCCUAUUUAGCCCAAUUUGCUGGACUUGUUCAAUCCAACUUGCAAACCAUUGUCUGGAAGGCUUGGGCCCCCCAAAAAUGUAAAUUAUUUGCAUGGUUGGUCACACAAAAUCGGGUCUGGACGGCGGACAGGUUGCAACGUCGUGGGUGGCCAAACUGUGAUCGUUGCCCGCUUUGCAAUCAAGUGCGAGAGUCCGCGGCACAUCUACUGUUCAAGUGCCGCUUCUCCAUUCGGGACUGGAAGGAGGUCCUUGCAUGGCUGCACCUUGAUGUUGAUACCACCCACUGGCUGAACUUUGACACAGUAAGGUUUUGGUGGGAUGGAGUCCUCGCCAACAAUGCGCACCCGAGGAGAGCCUUGGCCUCCGUACUACACCUUGUAAGCUGGGAGCUUUGGAAGGAGCGGAAUGCACGCGUGUUCAGGACCAGGGCGGCGCCUGUGGCGGUCAUAGUGCGAGCUAUUAAGGAGGAGGCAUCUAUCUGGGCUAUGGCGGGCGCCAAACAUUUGUGUAAUUUGAUGCCGCGAGAGUAG